UACGAAGGGUGCAAGCGUUACUCGGAAUUACUGGGCGUAAAGCGUGCGUAGGUGGUUCGUUAAGUCUGUCGUGAAAGCCCCGGGCUCAACCUGGGAAUGGCGAUGGAUACUGGCGGGCUAGAGUGCGGUAGAGGGUAGUGGAAUUCCCGGUGUAGCAGUGAAAUGCGUAGAGAUCGGGAGGAACAUCUGUGGCGAAGGCGACUGCCUGGACCAGCACUGACACUGAGGCGCGAAAGCGUGGGGAGCAAACAGG
Molecule: ribosomal RNA, 253 nt
Filed under: uncultured bacterium
Lineage: Bacteria
Description: partial 16S ribosomal RNA
Rfam family: Bacterial small subunit ribosomal RNA
Source: RNAcentral